AGCGAACGCUGGCGGCAGGCUUAACACAUGCAAGUCGAGCGGGCACUUCGGUGUCAGCGGCAGACGGGUGAGUAACACGUGGGAACGUACCCUUUGGUUCGGAAUAACGCUGGGAAACUAGCGCUAAUACCGGAUACGCCCUUUUGGGGAAAGGCUUGCUGCCGAAGGAUCGGCCCGCGUCUGAUUAGCUAGUUGGUGGGGUAAUGGCCUACCAAGGCGACGAUCAGUAGCUGGUCUGAGAGGAUGAUCAGCCACACUGGGACUGAGACACGGCCCAGACUCCUACGGGAGGCAGCAGUGGGGAAUAUUGGACAAUGGGCGCAAGCCUGAUCCAGCCAUGCCGCGUGAGUGAUGAAGGCCUUAGGGUUGUAAAGCUCUUGUGUCCGGGACGAUAAUGACGGUACCGGAAGAAUAAGCCCCGGCUAACUUCGUG
This 433-nucleotide ribosomal RNA is filed under the name uncultured bacterium. RNAcentral describes it as "partial 16S ribosomal RNA". It matches the Rfam family "Bacterial small subunit ribosomal RNA", at positions 29 to 507 of the family's 1533-position model. The record is from RNAcentral.